Molecule: ribosomal RNA, 468 nt
Filed under: uncultured bacterium
Lineage: Bacteria
Description: partial 16S ribosomal RNA
Rfam family: Bacterial small subunit ribosomal RNA
Source: RNAcentral
GACGAACGCUGGCGGCGUGCCUAACACAUGCAAGUCGAACGGAAAGGCGCUGCUCUUGCGGGUUGCUCGAGAGGCGAACGCGUGAGUAACACGUGUGUAUCCUGUCCUUGUCUUUGGGAUAUCUUUACGAAACUCGGGCUCUUACCGGAUAGGAUCUACUGCUGCACGGUGGGGGAUGGUAAGAUUCGGCGGUGGGGGCUGGACUGGCGGCUUAUCCGCUUGUUAGUGGGGUAGUGGCUGACCAAGGUUGUGACGGGUAGCCGGCCUGAGAGGGUGACCGGCCACAUUGGGACUGAGAUACGGCCCAGACUCGUAUGGGAGGCAGAAGGGGGGAGUAUGGCACAGUGGGCGGGAGCCUGAUGCAGCAACGCCGGGUGCGGGAAAACGGCCUUCGGGGUGUAAACCACUUUCGCCUGUGACGAAGCGUGAGUGACGGUAAUGGGUAAAAAAGCACCGGCUAACUACGUG